GAUGAACGCUGGCGGCGUGCCUAAUACAUGCAAGUCGAGCGAACGGACGAGAAUCUUGCUUCUCUGAUGUUAGCGGCGGACGUGUGAGUAACACGUGGAUAACCUACCUAUAAGACUGGGAUAACUUCGGGAAACCGUAGCUAAUACCGUAUAAUAUUUUGAACCGCAUGGUUCAAAAGUUAAAGACGGUCUUGCUGUCACUUAUAGAUUGAUCCUCGCUGCAUUAGCUAGUUGGUAAGGUAACGGCUUACCAAGGCAACGAUGCAUAGCCGACCUGAGAGGGUGAGAGGACACACGGGAACGGAGACACGGACAAGAGAACGACGGGAGGAAGCAGUAGGGAAUAUUCCGCAAUGGGCGAAAGCAUGACGGAGCAACGCCGCGUGAGUGAUGAAGGUCUUAGGAUCGUAAAACUCUGUUAUUAGGGAAGAAAAUAUGUGUAAGUAACUGUGCACAGCGUGACGGUACCUAAUCAGAAAGCAACGGCUAACUACGUG
This 497-nucleotide ribosomal RNA is filed under the name uncultured bacterium. Its description in RNAcentral is "partial 16S ribosomal RNA". It matches the Rfam family "Bacterial small subunit ribosomal RNA", at positions 28 to 507 of the family's 1533-position model. The record is from RNAcentral.